RNAcentral lists this non-coding RNA (240 nucleotides) under Clostridium sp. RNAcentral's name for it is "T-box sequence". It matches the Rfam family "T-box leader". Rfam says of the family: Uncharged tRNA acts as the effector for transcription antitermination of genes in the T-box leader family. T-boxes are found upstream of many aminoacyl-tRNA synthetase genes and some amino acid biosynthetic genes usually in Gram-positive bacteria. The record is from RNAcentral. Lineage: Bacteria; Bacillati; Bacillota; Clostridia; Eubacteriales; Clostridiaceae.
GAAAAGGCAGUGAAGGUGUAAGUAGAAGCUUAUUUUCCGUCCAGAGAGAGGAGAUCAUCGGCUGAGAGUCUUCUUCGGUUCAGAUAAGAGUUCGAAAUUCCCGCCGGAGCCGCGCAGCUGAACAGGAAGCCUCAGAAGAGCUUUAAGUAGGCGGCGACGUUUCGUACACGUUACGUAUAAGAUAAGAGCCUGCAAAAGCAGGAAUCAGGGUGGUACCGCGGUUUAUAUUCCGUCCCUUCG